GACGAACGCUGGCGGCGCGCUUAACACAUGCCAGUCGAACGGAAAGGCCUGCUUUCCCUUGUGGAUUGCGGGUACUCGAGUGGCGAACGGGUGAGUAACACGUGAGUGAUCUGCCCCCAACUUGGGUAUAAGCCUGGGAAACUGGGUCUAAUUCCCGAUAGGACUGCAGGGUGGUGCCUGUGGUGGAAAACGAUUUUCUAGUGGUUGGGGAUGAGCUCGCGGCCUAUCAGCUUGUUGGUGGGGUAAUGGCCUACCAAGGCGGCGACGGGUAGCCGGUCUGAGAGGGUGGACGGCCACAUUGGGACUGAGAUACGGCCCAGACUCCUACGGGAGGCAGCAGUGGGGAAUAUUGCACAAUGGGCGGAAGCCUGAUGCAGCGACGCCGCGUGGGGGAUGACGGCCUUCGGGUUGUAAACUCCUUUCGACCGCGAGGAAGCCACCUGGUUGGAAGGGUGGUGACGGUAGUGGUAGAAGAAGCACCGGCUAACUACGUG
Molecule: ribosomal RNA, 494 nt
Filed under: uncultured bacterium
Lineage: Bacteria
Description: partial 16S ribosomal RNA
Rfam family: Bacterial small subunit ribosomal RNA
Source: RNAcentral